RNAcentral lists this ribosomal RNA (693 nucleotides) under Clostridioides difficile. RNAcentral describes it as "bacterial LSU rRNA". It matches the Rfam family "Bacterial large subunit ribosomal RNA", at positions 883 to 1581 of the family's 2925-position model. Lineage: Bacteria; Bacillati; Bacillota; Clostridia; Peptostreptococcales; Peptostreptococcaceae. The record is from RNAcentral.
CAAGGUGAGAGAUACGGAGGUAGAGCACUGAAUGUCCUAGGGGGUAUUGCACCUACCGAAGACUAUCAAACUCCGAAUGCCGUCAUCUUAUACUUGGGAGUCAGACUGUGGGUGAUAAGAUUCAUAGUCGAAAGGGCAACAGCCCAGAUCGUCAGCUAAGGUCCCUAAAUGUAAGUUAAGUGGUAAAGGAUGUGGGAUUGCACAGACAACCAGGAUGUUGGCUUAGAAGCAGCCACUCAUUCAAAGAGUGCGUAAUAGCUCACUGGUCGAGUGAUCCUGCGCCGAAGAUUUCCGGGGCUAAAACUUACUACCGAAGCUACGGCAUCAGUAAUGAUGGGUAGGGGAGCUUCCCAUACGGGUUGAAGCAUGACCGUAAGGACAUGUGGACAGUAUGGGAGUGAGAAUGUUGGCAUGAGUAGCGAGAUGUGGGUGGGAAUCCCACAGGCCGUAAACCCAAGGUUUCCAGGGGAAGGUUCGUCCGCCCUGGGUUAGUCGGGACCUAAGCUGAGGCCGAAAGGCGUAGGUGAUGGACAACAGGUUGAUAUUCCUGUACUACCGAUAACCGGUUGAGAGAAGGGAUGACACAGUAGGAUAAGCUAAGCACACUGUUGGUUAUGUGUGCCCAAGCAUUGAGGCAGUCAAAGCAGGCAAACCCGCUUUGAGAAUGCUGGGCGGGGGUGGGGAGCGAAGUUU